GGGCAUUUGGCUCAGUGGGAAGAGCGUUCGCUCUCAAUCGAUUGACGACCAUGGGUCCCAGGUUCGAUUCUGGGACGGAUCC
Non-coding RNA from Pilaira anomala, 82 nucleotides. Lineage: Eukaryota; Fungi; Mucoromycota; Mucoromycetes; Mucorales; Mucoraceae. The record is from the annotation of a GenBank genome assembly.